UACGGGGGGAGCAAGCGUUGUUCGGAUUUACUGGGCGUAAAGGGCGCGUAGGCGGCCACCGCAAGUCGACUGUGAAAUCUCCGGGCUUAACCCGGAAAGGUCAGCCGAUACUGCGGGGCUAGAGUGCAGAAGGGGCAACUGGUAUUCUCGGUGUAGCGGUGAAAUGCGUAGAUAUCGAGAGGAACACCUGCGGCGAAGGCGGGUUGCUGGGCUGACACUGACGCUGAAGCGCGAAAGCUAGGGGAGCGAACGGG
Molecule: ribosomal RNA, 254 nt
Filed under: uncultured bacterium
Lineage: Bacteria
Description: partial 16S ribosomal RNA
Rfam family: Bacterial small subunit ribosomal RNA
Source: RNAcentral